RNAcentral lists this ribosomal RNA (564 nucleotides) under uncultured bacterium. RNAcentral's name for it is "bacterial SSU rRNA". It matches the Rfam family "Bacterial small subunit ribosomal RNA", at positions 338 to 916 of the family's 1533-position model. The record is from RNAcentral.
CCUACGGGAGGCAGCAGCAGGGNAAUCUUGCGCAAUGGGCGAAAGCCUGACGCAGCGACACCGCGUGAAGGAAGAAGGCUUUCGGGUCGUAAACUUCUUUUCUCGGGGAAGAGAACGGACGGUACCCGAGGAAUAAGCAUCGGCUAACUACGUGCCGGCAGCCGCGGUAAUACGUAGGAUGCAAGCGUUGUCCGGAUUUACUGGGCGUAAAGGGCGAGUAGGCGGCUUGGCAAGUCUCAUGUGAAAUCUCCCGGCUCAACUGGGAGGGGUCAUGAGAAACUGCCAGGCUCGAGGUCGGCAGAGGAAAGCGGAAUUCCCGGAGUAGCGGUGGUAUGCGUAGAUACCGGGAGGAACACCAGAGGCGAAGGCGGCUUUCUGGGCUGCACCUGACGCUGAGGCGCGAAAGCGUGGGGAGCGAACCGGAUUAGAUACCCGGGUAGUCCACGCCCUAAACGAUGGAUACUAGACAUGGGGGGUAUCGACCCCCUCUGUGUCGUAGUUAACGCGUUAAGUAUCCCGCCUGGGGAGUACGGCCGCAAGGCUAAAACUCAAAGGAAUUGACGG